UCUGCAGCAGGCAGAGUGCAGAUUACUAGUGAAGUUGCCCAGAGGCCCAAACCAGGCAUAGGAAGCCCUUCAGUUUCCCCCUGGGGGGUUCUCAGGGGUGGCUACACACUCUUUUAACUCUUCCCUUUCCCUUUCUGUAGUGAAGGCCAUGUUUGUGUCCUUGCUUCAAAAUCUAAUUCUUUAGGUAAAACUGGUAAGUAACUUCCAGGUGGACCCAGAAAAAUGCAAUGAAAAAGUCAUUUAAAGGCAAAACAUGAGAAAAAAAUUAAUAAGCAGGGAUGCAAAACAACACACAUGCUCUGCUGAAACUUUUAAAAAUGAUGCACAC
Molecule: long non-coding RNA, 328 nt
Filed under: Bos taurus (domestic cattle)
Lineage: Eukaryota; Metazoa; Chordata; Mammalia; Artiodactyla; Bovidae
Description: long non-coding RNA NONBTAT011045
Source: RNAcentral